Molecule: ribosomal RNA, 952 nt
Filed under: uncultured bacterium
Lineage: Bacteria
Description: bacterial SSU rRNA
Rfam family: Bacterial small subunit ribosomal RNA
Source: RNAcentral
UGUCGGAUUAUUGGGCGUAAGGGCUCGCAGGUGGUUUGUUAAGUUGGUGGUUUAAUCUCUGGGCUCAACCCAGAGUCAGCCUCCAAAACUGGCGAACUUGAGUACGAUAGGGGAUAGCGGAAUUCUCGGUGUAGCGGUGGAAUGCGUAGAUAUCGAGAGGAACACCAAUGGCGAAGGCAGCUAUCUGGAUCGUAACUGACACUCAUGAGCGAAAGUGCGGGGAGCGAACAGGAUUAGAUACCCUGGUAGUCCGCACCGUAAACGUUGUAUACUAGUUGUUGGCGGUUUCAACGCCGUCAGUGACGACGCUAACGCAUUAAGUAUACCGCCUGGGGAGUAUGCUCGCAAGGGUGAAACUCAAAGAAAUUGACGGGGGCCCGCACAAGCGGUGGAGCAUGUGGUUUAAUUCGACGAUACGCGAGAAACCUUACCUGGGUUUGACAUGGAUUUGACUGGGAUAGAGAUAUUCCUUCCCGCAAGGGCAGAUUCACAGGUGUUGCAUGGUCGUCGUCAGCUCGUGUUGUGAGAUGUUGGGUUAAGUCCCGCAACGAGCGCAACCCCUAUCUUCUGUUGCCAAUAUUAAGUUAGGCACUCUGAAGAAACCGCCGGUGACAAACCGGAGGAAGGUGGGGAUGACGUCAGAUCAGCAUGGCCCUUAUAUCCAGGGCUACACACGUGCUACAAUGGCCGGUACAGAGGGACGCAAAGCCGCGAGGUGGAGCAAAUCCCACAAAGCCGGUCUCAGUUCAGAUUGCAGUCUGCAACUCGACUGCAUGAAGUCGGAAUCGCUAGUAAUCGCAAAUCAGCAUGUUGCGGUGAAUACGUUCCCGGGCCCUUGUACACACCGCCCGUCACACCACCCGAGUUGGAGGUACCCGAAGAGGCUGUUGCCAACCGCAAGAGCAGUCGCUAAGUAAAUUCGCGAGGGGGUGAAGUCGUAACAAGUACCCGU